Molecule: ribosomal RNA, 607 nt
Filed under: uncultured bacterium
Lineage: Bacteria
Description: bacterial SSU rRNA
Rfam family: Bacterial small subunit ribosomal RNA
Source: RNAcentral
GACGAACGCUGGCGGCGCGCCUAACACAUGCAAGUCGAACGAGAAUCAGCUGAUGAAGUUUUCGAAUGGAUUCGGUUGAGGAAAGUGGCGAACGGGCGAGUAACGCGUGAGCAACCUACCUUGUACUGGGGGAUAACGUCGGGAAACCGGCGCUAAUACCGCAUAACAUUACGAUAGCGCAUGUUAUUGUAAUCAAAGCUUUAGUGGUACGAGACGGGCUCGCGUCCAAUUAGCUAGUUGGUGAGGUAAAGGCUCACCAAGGCGACGAUUGGUAGCCGAACUGAGAGGUUGAUCGGCCGCAUUGGGACUGAGACACGGCCCAGACUCCUACGGGAGGCAGCAGUGGGGAAUAUUGCGCAAUGGGGGAAACCCUGACGCAGCGACGCCGCGUGAAGGAAGAAGGCCUUCGGGUUGUAAACUUCUUUGAUCGGGGACGAAGAUGACGGUACCCGAGGAACAAGCCACGGCUAACUACGUGCCAGCAGCCGCGGUAAUACGUAGGUGGCAAGCGUUGUCCCGGAAUUACUGGGCGUAAAGGGCGUGUAGGCGGGGGGACAAGUCAGAUGUGAAAUACCGCGGCUUAACUGCGGGGGUGCAUCUGAAACUG